GGAGGAAAGCAGGGGAUCGCAAGACCUUGCGCUUUUGGAGUGGCCGAUGCCUGAUUAGCUAGUUGGUAGGGUAAUGGCUUACCAAGGCGACGAUCAGUAGUUGGUCUGAGAGGACGACCAGCCACACUGGGACUGAGACACGGCCCAGACUCCUACGGGAGGCAGCAGUGGGGAAUUUUGGACAAUGGGCGAAAGCCUGAUCCAGCAAUGCCGCGUGAGUGAAGAAGGCCUUCGGGUUGUAAAGCUCUUUCAGUCGAGAAGAAAAGGUUGUGACUAAUAAUCACAACUCAUGACGGUAUCGACAGAAGAAGCACCGGCUAACUACGUGCCAGCAGCCGCGGUAAUACGUAGGGUGCGAGCGUUAAUCGGAAUUACUGGGCGUAAAGGGUGCGCAGGCGGCUUUGUAAGUCAGAUGUGAAAUCCCCGGGCUUAACCUGGGAAUUGCGUUUGAAACUACAAGGCUAGA
This 466-nucleotide ribosomal RNA is filed under the name uncultured ammonia-oxidizing beta proteobacterium. RNAcentral's name for it is "bacterial SSU rRNA". It matches the Rfam family "Bacterial small subunit ribosomal RNA", at positions 198 to 645 of the family's 1533-position model. The record is from RNAcentral. Lineage: Bacteria; Pseudomonadati; Pseudomonadota; Betaproteobacteria.